UUUCUAAGACAAAGGUUCAUCAUUAUUUCAUGGAAAAAAAAAUGAGGAGCAUUUGAUGCUAAAGCUUUCUCCUACUUACAUUUAACCGAUUAAAUUUCUAUGUAGAAUUAAUCAAGAGCAAUUAAUUUAUUCGGAAAAAGAAUUAUGGCAUUUUAAUCCAAGGAUGGAAGGUUAGUCUUAAUUCGAAAGAGAUCAAAAAAAAAAAAACUUGCUAUGAAUCAUAUAUGGAAAGGAUUAAGUUUUGAGAUGCCAUGAUUUUGCCAAAAUCUUGUGAGCUUACAUUUCGAGAUGAGGAUUGUUUAGGAGCUCGGGAAUGAUAUGAUGUUUCCAUAUUUUCAUAAUUUGAAACUUUAAGUGAGUUAAUUUCGAGGACAAAAUUAUUUUAAGGGAGGAAGAAUGUGAGACCCAAGCUUUGAACCGAACUGGGCCCGAUCCACUUGACCGGCCCAGCCACCAGUUCUGGCCUCACGUGCGUUGCACGUGAGGGCAUACGGUGAGGAGGUGGAGGGGAUCCAUCCCGAAGAAGCCGGGAUCCCCAGUUUUAGGGCAUUCUCCUCCCCUUUGAGACCACUCGAGGUAGAGCCGCCAUGCCUGAGUUCUUCCUCCUCGGGCUGCCGGCAGAGAGAGAGAGAGAGCGAAAGAGAGAGGGAGAUAGAGGGCUUUGGGUCUUCUUCGGUACAAGGGGUCUUCUUCUUCCUUACCGCCGGAGAGGAAGAAAGCUGCCGGACUUUCGUCGGGGCUGAGGUAAGGCCUUCUCCUCUCUUGGUGAUUAGCCAUGAUGUGUUGAGGUUUUGGAACCGGCCAAUCGCCGGAACUUGGGUCCAAAAAAUCAGUCGGCCGAGUGCUCCGCCGCUAGCCUUGUUCGCCGCCGCCCGCCGCCGGGAGUGGCCGGGCUUAUUCCGCCACCUCCUGCCGCUGUCAGAGCCGGCCACCACGGCCGCCUUUGGGCUCGACCGAGAGGGAAGAAGAAGGGGGCGGGGGGGUCACGGAUCCCCUGUUUCGCCGAAGGGGAAGGAAGAAAGAAAUCGGGAGAAGUUUCUAGAGAAGAAGAGAAGAAAGGAAAAAGGAAAGGAAAGGAAAGAAAAGAAAAAGAAAAAGAAGGAAAAAGAAAAAGAAAAGAAAGAAAAAAAAAGAAAAGAAGGAAAAAUAAAAAAAAAUGAAUAAAGAGAGGGGGUGGUUUAUGGGUAUGAACCCGAACUCGGGGUGCUAGGCACUUCUGUAGGAUCAGCCAUGGGAGAAUAUUAAAAUUUAAGUUUUUGUAUACAUAUAUUGUGAUGAAUUUUAAAAGAAGAAUAUGAUUUUUGGAUAUUAGGUUCUGCGAGGGAUUUACGGAAUUAAUUGGAUUUAUUGUGGAUCGCGUUCACAAGGUAAGUGAUGUAACAUCNNNNNNNNNNNNNNNNNNNNAUAAAGAGAGGGGGUGGUUUAUGGGUAUGAACCCGAACUCGGGGUGCUAGGCACUUCUGUAGGAUCAGCCAUGGGAGAAUAUUAAAAUUUAAGUUUUUGUAUACAUAUAUUGUGAUGAAUUUUAAAAGAAGAAUAUGAUUUUUGGAUAUUAGGUUCUGCGAGGGAUUUACGGAAUUAAUUGGAUUUAUUGUGGAUCGCGUUCACAAG
RNAcentral lists this long non-coding RNA (1611 nucleotides) under Phoenix dactylifera (date palm). RNAcentral's name for it is "long non-coding RNA (PDAC_LNC009290)". Lineage: Eukaryota; Viridiplantae; Streptophyta; Magnoliopsida; Arecales; Arecaceae. The record is from RNAcentral.